GGUUGUUGGGAACAGGCAGUCUGUCAGAAACAGUCGGCUAUGGAUCACCAAAGAAAUGGGGGUGAAUGAGGCUUCUGCUGAGCACCUGGCAGAUUAGAUCCGAUCCCUGGUUGUGCAAGAAAAGGAACCUAUAUAGCAAAGCUGGCCUGGCUUUGGGAUGUUGGUAAGGAAGCAAAUACAGCAGUUUGAGUCAGGACAGAGCAGGAAUUACAGCCACGGGUGGUGCAAGUUCAGUAAAGGACCAGUGAAAGCUGCUGACUUGGGAAGGGCCAGCUCUAAAGGCACACAAAGGUACUUGAGCUAAUUUCUGCUGUCUGGGCAAAUCACCCUCAUGGGUUGGCAGGUGGAAGAUGGACAUCUCAGAGACAAUCAGCCCUCCCAGAGGAACGAGCAGAGGCUGAAGCUUCAA
Long non-coding RNA from Pseudopipra pipra, 409 nucleotides. RefSeq lists it as uncharacterized. The transcript is spliced from 3 exons. NCBI's taxonomy places the organism in Eukaryota, Metazoa, Chordata, Aves, Passeriformes, Pipridae. The record is from RefSeq and is a predicted model, not a curated record.